Molecule: ribosomal RNA, 110 nt
Organism: Pelodiscus sinensis (Chinese soft-shelled turtle)
Lineage: Eukaryota; Metazoa; Chordata; Testudines; Trionychidae
Source: Ensembl
GCUUGUGGCCAUUCCACCCUAAACAUGUCUGAUCUUAGAACCUAAGCAGGGUCAGGCCUGGAUUAAUACUUGGGUGGGAGACCUCCUGGGAAUACUGGGUGCUGAAACCC